This 329-nucleotide long non-coding RNA is filed under the name Elaeis guineensis (African oil palm). RNAcentral's name for it is "long non-coding RNA (EGUI_LNC061364)". The record is from RNAcentral. Lineage: Eukaryota; Viridiplantae; Streptophyta; Magnoliopsida; Arecales; Arecaceae.
GUUUCUUGCUCCUGGGGCACGGAGGAUGGCUGGAGAGAGAGGGAGAAGAGAGAGAGAGACUUGGGAGAAAGAGUCAUCUAUUACUUGGCUUGAUCAAACCUAUACAAGUACAUGUAUAUAUAAACACUGGGUCAAGUGACCCAAACUCAAAACUCCCUUGACCAACUCUAUGGAAAAUUAGGUUAACCCAAGCCCAUGUACACCCAUGACUCGACCUAAUCUCACCUAUCCUGGGUCCAGACCUGGCCCAUAAAGAGUUGGUCCCUUGAGGCCCACAUAACCUAGACCUCAAGAACCCGAAAGGCCUACAGCCUUUCAACCUAGGGCCC